This 792-nucleotide ribosomal RNA is filed under the name uncultured bacterium. RNAcentral describes it as "bacterial SSU rRNA". It matches the Rfam family "Bacterial small subunit ribosomal RNA", at positions 1 to 799 of the family's 1533-position model. The record is from RNAcentral.
GCCGCGGCCGCAGAGUUUGAUCCUGGCUCAGGACGAACGCUGGCGGCGUGCCUAACACAUGCAAGUCGAGCGGAGAAUGCAAGAUGUUUACAUUGAGCAUUCUUAGCGGCGGACGGGUGAGUAACACGUGGGUAACCUGCCUCAGAGUGGGGGAUAGCCUUUCGAAAGGAAGAUUAAUACCGCAUAAGCUUGUAGCAUCGCAUGGUGCAGCAAGAAAAGGAGCAAUCCGCUCUGAGAUGGACCCGCGGCGCAUUAGCUAGUUGGUGAGGUAACGGCUCACCAAGGCCACGAUGCGUAGCCGACCUGAGAGGGUGAUCGGCCACAUUGGAACUGAGACACGGUCCAGACUCCUACGGGAGGCAGCAGUGGGGAAUAUUGCACAAUGGGCGAAAGCCUGAUGCAGUAACGCCGCGUGAGUGAUGAAGGCUUUCGAGUCGUAAAGCUCUUUGAUCAGGGAUGAUAAUGACAGUACCUGAAGAACAAGCCACGGCUAACUACGUGCCAGCAGCCGCGGUAAUACGUAGGUGGCGAGCGUUGUCCGGAAUUACUGGGCGUAAAGGAUGCGUAGGUGGAUAUUUAAGUGGGAUGUGAAAUCCCCGGGCUCAACCCGGGAACUGCAUUCCAAACUGGAUAUCUAGAGUGCAGGAGAGGAAAGCGGAAUUCCUAGUGUAGCGGUGAAAUGCGUAGAUAUUAGAGGAACACCAGUGGCGAACGCGGCUUUCUGGACUGUAACUGACACUGAGGCAUGAAAGCGUGGGUAGCAAACAGGAUUAGAUACCCUGAUAGUCCACG